GUCAGAAGAGGAAGGUUGUAUGUGGUCAGCAAUGUAUUCGAAAGCGAGAGAAUGCUAAGGUUGGCAAUUUGCUGAAGAGGGAAGAUGUUCAAGUCUAGUGUUUCUAGAUAAUUGAAAUGUACCAUACUAACCACUUCCGUGUCCCAAAGUCCAGUCCUCCGGUAACACGAAAUCCCCAAGGCUGGUCAUCUGUCUUGGAGAGUUUAAUUUCUUCAGCCAUAUCACCAAUAUUUGUGAGCAUCUUGAAUCACUUUUUACCCUAAAGAAUCCACACAUUACUUCGUUAAUUACACAGCAUUCCUAUUUCAACAUUCUAUGGAUAGUAUGUAUGAAAAAUACAUAUUCAGCAUACUUAUUUGAGUUGCUUUUCACCUCUUCUCCAAACAGAAGGUCCUUCAAAAUAAAGAGAGGACACAAAAACAAGCUGAAGCAAUGAAGUAGAAAUAAAUAUAGAGCUUUAGACAGCUGACAAUCCAGGGGCUGCACUUGGUCUUGACAAAGUUCAUACUCUAUAAUAGUGACACCUGACAUUGAGUGGAAACCUUUGGGCACAGUGCCAUAUAUGUCUGGAUGUUGAUGUAUGUGCACAUGGUAUUUGUUAGUGACAAGAAUUUAUUGGCACCUCUUCGAAUAUGCAGAGGUAGAGAAUUGAAUGCUAGUCAUAAAACACAUUUAAUUGAUACUCUGACAUGUAACUGCCAGUAACUCCAUGAUGCAAAGUCCUUGUUAAGCUUCUAACCUCUCAGCUAGUCAUGAAAUUGAUUGCCUUUUAUAGAAUCCAAAGGUUUAUUUCUAUGUUCAUAAAUGUCUGUCACUAGAACCUGUAUUAAGCCAGAUAAAUCUAGUUCAUACCCUCAUAUCUUAUUACUUAAGGUGCAUUAUAAUGUUUUCCUUUCAAAAGUGGUCUCAUUCUUUCAGGAUUUGAGACAUGAAUGUGUUAUGUAUUUCUCUUCCCUCCUAAGUAUGCUACAUGCCUCACCCAUCUCAUCUUCCUCUGAUGAACCUGAUAUUUUGUGACAAAUACAAAUUAUGAAUGUUAAAAUUA
Zootermopsis nevadensis is the source of this 1045-nucleotide non-coding RNA. NCBI's taxonomy places the organism in Eukaryota, Metazoa, Arthropoda, Insecta, Blattodea, Termopsidae. The record is from RefSeq and is a predicted model, not a curated record.